RNAcentral lists this ribosomal RNA (495 nucleotides) under uncultured bacterium. RNAcentral describes it as "partial 16S ribosomal RNA". It matches the Rfam family "Bacterial small subunit ribosomal RNA", at positions 28 to 507 of the family's 1533-position model. The record is from RNAcentral.
GACGAACGCUGGCGGCGUGCCUAAUGCAUGCAAGUAGAACGCUGAAGGAGGAGCUUGCUUCUCUGGAUGAGUUGCGAACGGGUGAGUAACGCGUAGGUAACCUGCCUGGUAGCGGGGGAUAACUAUUGGAAACGAUAGCUAAUACCGCAUAAUAGUAGAUGUUGCAUGACAUUUGCUUAAAAGGUGCAAUUGCAUCACUACCAGAUGGACCUGCGUUGUAUUAGCUAGUUGGUGGGGUAACGGCUCACCAAGGCGACGAUACAUAGCCGACCUGAGAGGGUGAUCGGCCACACUGGGACUGAGACACGGCCCAGACUCCUACGGGAGGCAGCAGUAGGGAAUCUUCGGCAAUGGACGGAAGUCUGACCGAGCAACGCCGCGUGAGUGAAGAAGGUUGUCGGAUCGUAAAGCUCUGUUGUAAGAGAAGAACGAGUGUGAGAGUGGAAAGUUCACACUGUGACGGUAUCUUACCAGAAAGGGACGGCUAACUACGUG